UGUAAAUAAACAAGGUGAGGGGAAAAUUUCUGUUAAUAAAGACAUGGUAUCUUGAGGGAAGCAUUUCUCCCUAAGUGCAGAGUUAUUUUCAUCAGAGAGAGCUUCUCUUAACAUACAGCUUGAGGCAAAAUUAAAAUCCAGAAACACAGUUUAAGAGAGUAUGAACUCUUGCUAGAACUGCAAUGUAUCUACCCCAGGGGUCCUAAGAAUUUGCUAACCCCUAACUGCCAGUUCUUCUCUAGCCAAGAAAAUCAAGCAGCUAAGAACUCCUUGGGGAAGGCAGGGUGGUGAAUGGAGACCUAUUAUAAAAUAUACACCUUCAAGAGAACAAGAAUUACAGGUAACCUCCCUCUUCUCCAAAGCGAGUGGUGGUAAUAGAACUCCUCUCUGUGGACACUAAGAAGGCCUUGCUUGUUCUGUGGCUUUGACCAUUUAUAUUUAAUUUAUGGUUUUAAUUUUCUGGAAAGAGCCCAAAGGAGCCCACUGCCCAAUGGAGUGCAUGAUACAGGUUUGGUAAGCACAAGUUAAAAUAAAAUAAAAAUGCUUCAGUGCCUUCGGAUGUGUCUAAAACAACAGAAUUAAGAGACUCUAAAAACCAGGGUCAUAAUUAUCUUUCAGUUUAUCUUAAAUGGCAAAGUGUAAGGGAAGAAAGGUGAGUAAAGAAAGAAAUGGGAGGGGGCUUUAAAAUGACAGGAUAUAGCAUUAAGCAUGGUUGAACCAGACUUAAACGUUGGCCCUGCCAGCCUUCCUGAAAAUGGAACAUUAUAGCCUUGCAAAAUCUGGAUUUCACAGUGAGAAAAAAAUCAAACAUAACACUUCUCACUCUGAAUCACUUUACCCAAAAGAGGGUUUUGAAUUGAAACCCUCAUUACUGCCAAUAACUGAGUUUACCUAAAUAAUCUCUAGCACUUUGGAAAGAGGGUAAGGCCACUGCUGUUUGGCAGAUUUAAAAAAGGCAGGAGUUGUGUCCUAGAGAAACCUUUUCUUCCCUUGAACUUUUUCAGAAAAGCUUUCCUGCUUUGGGCCCUCAUCUCCAGAGGAAUCCAUUGUGCAAAAUGUAGAAUACGGACCUAUAGAAAUAUUGGCUUAUUAACAUGUAUUUUUCUUUGGCAUUGCCCAUGCAUGCGCUAAAUGCAGACUUUUCAUUUUUGGGAAGGGUAAGGUGAGCUAUUUAAAUUUACUUGAUUUCAGGAAAUAUCCACAGAGACAUCCUAGACCCUCAAGAACCUUGCAUCUGUGUUCAAACAGUUGAAUUUAAACAAACAGUUGUGGAAGCCGGAAGUUCAAAAUCAAGAUGUCAGCAGUGUGUGUCAGUUCCUUCUGGAGUCUCGAGGAAGGAUCCGUUGUAUGAGUCUCUCCUUCCCUCUGUGCUGCAACUCCUGAAACCUGAAGUCUGUGACUCACCAGUUCUAAGCCCCAGAGUCCUGAUGGGGCACCUCAAGGAGACACUUCAGCCACCUAAGUCAGCUGGACCACCCCAUGACACAGUCAUGGAGGUUCCAGUCUGAAUUCAGAGUCAAUGAUAAGGGAGGCUUCCGUGGCAGAGUGAAAAGCACACACCUGAGAAAUGAAAAGAAAUGGCAAAGGUCACACGUCUCAGGAUGAAUUGCACUGUGUGUGACACCCUAGCUGAAAUCCUAUCCCACAGGACCAUCAGGUGAGCAAUUAAAGAAAGUGGCUGAAAUUGCUUCCAUGUUCUUUUUUCUCUUCUAAAAAUAUCUAUGCUGAGACUUUUUCCCCGUGUGUGUGUAUACACGUGUGUGUAUACACGUGUGUGUAUACAUGUGUGCAGCUUCCCAUGCUUGUGCAGGCCUCUGUGCUAAAGUCGGUGUCUUCAUUCAGACUGCACUUCAUUAUGGUUUUGCUUGAUGUCUGCCUCUCUCUUCCAUUGCCUUUCUUCUAAUUCAUGCUCUACAUUGCAGCAAGAAUGCCAUUCCUCUGUUUAAUAUACUUUCAUGGAUGCUCAUUUGUCUAGACACCUUCUCAUGGGACACAUUCUGCCUUCUACUUAUAACUUAUUUAUCUGCCUUCUUUUGCACAAUGACCACUUCUUCCUUAAAGAUCCAGUGUUGACAUCAUCUCUUCCAUUCACGGAGGCUUCCCAACUCUUCCAGGCAGAGUGAGUCAUCCAUUUCCCUGGGCUCCUCCGGCAUCUCAUAGAGACUUCUGUUGUGGAUUCCCCUGCUCUGUGCCACAAUGAUGUGUCGACAAGUUUGUCUCUCCCACAGCAUACACUGUGGGAUUCUUUAAAACAGAGAUGGUGUCAUGAAUUUCUGGUUUGGCAGGUUUGAAAAUAUUAUGCAGAACAUUAGUUUUUUUAAUAAAAGAAAAAUGAAUAAACAGAAGGAUAAAGCAUUAAGCUUAACCUCUAUAUAUACAGAACUCUGUAUCUGUAAAAAGAGGAUAAUAAAGAUACCCAGUUGUGGUAGAUUAAAUGAUUAACUGCAAUUCUUUACUCUUUCCUUUUGUGCCACAUGGGCAGAAGCUUGGGUGUGUUGCUCACUUUGGCAAAGAACAUGUGGGUAGACAUGAGAUGGUGCCAGUUCUAAGCCUGUACCUUAAGAAGAAUCACAGUGUCUCUUUACCUCUUUCCUUCUGCCAUUACCAUGAGAAGCAUUCUCUCUGGAUACCUGUUCGUAUUAUCCCUACAGCCUGGAAUGCAGUUUGAAGAUAUGUGCAGAAGAAAUGCCCAAGCCGACCCCGGACCUACAGUGAGAAGCAGAACAGCCCAGAGAAGCUCAGCCUAGGGCAACAGAGACAGCCUAGUCAACCUACAGAUCUGGGACAAUAAAUGCUUCUGCUUUUAAGCCACCGAGUUCUGGGAGGUGAUUUGUUCCACAGCAUUAUAGUGGCAAUAGCUGAUACUUCAACCUCAUUUAGUUUUUGUAAGGGCUAGAUCUGAUAAUUCAUGUCAAAAGCCCUAGAACGUGGUAAGCACAGAUAUUAGGAUUCACUAUUAUUAACAUUUGAUCUUUAUUAGCUUAUAAAACUAAGUAUUUUAUGGGAAAGAACAGUUGGAAGAAAAAGCAAGAAUCUAUUUAUCAAUUCAAUGAGAUUCUCAUAGCUGAACUUGGCAAUUUCUUUGAUAUUUGCUAAAAGCCUUUCAUAGAAUGUGAGGCAAGAUGAUGGGAGGCCUCAGAGGAUUCGAAUUUAAGCAGAAAGAAAGACAGUCUUGGCACAGUGGCUCUCCAGCAUGGGGGGUGCAUACCCGCUUCUGUUAUCAUUGGGAUGAUCCACCAGCUUUCCUAUGGCAUUUUCAUUUUGCAAAGCAUUUCAUUUAACAAUCCCUCACUUAACCACUCCUUGGAGCCAAUCUGUACACAAAAAUAGACAGUUACUUCCUAGAGACUGCGAAAAAGUGAGACUUCUAAAGCUUUAGCCAGUAGCCUCUCUUUGUUCAUUGAGGGGUCCCAUAGUCCCAUCUUCACCCCAAACUGCCCUUCUAAUCUCGAGGCUAAGAUGUCUAAUUGCUCCCAGAUAUCCACGACAUGAGGUCCCAGACUCAUGUCACGCUUAAGAUGUCAAAAACAGAAUCCAUCAUCUUCUCUCUGUAUCUAGGACCUUGGCCUCAAGCUGUGGCUCCAAUUGUGUCCUUAUCUCAGUACCCAAACCAGAACCUGGUGGCAUCCAUGACUCCUCUCUCUCAUUCUUCCUUUCUCUAUUCCUUUCCCCAGGCAUCCAAGUUCUAAUUAUUUCUCAGAUCACUCCACCUCACUCCAUCAUCACUUCUUUCACGUCACCUUUUGCCUGGUUAAUAGUAAAAACCUCCCUAUUUGUCUCCCUGUCUGAACUUCUCUAUCGUUUGCUCUUUCUGCUUUUUUUCAUAUUACUUAUCAUUGAUCACCAUCUUUUUUUUUUACUGUGCAUAUCUGUCUGUGUGUGUCUGUGUGAGUGUAUGUGCAUGUGUACGUGCUUUCCUAAGUAUACUUCAUUCUCCCUAUUGGAUUGUAAAUUCCUUGUCUUUAGGAGUCAUGCCUAGAAUUUUGUUCACACUCAAGAAAAAUUUGAUAGACCUAAUCAAAAUUCAGAUUAGAUAUUUAACCAAGCUCUCUGGAUAAAUGUUUCUACUCCUCCAUUCCCAUUCGUAUUGGUCCAUUCUCACACUGCUAAUAAAGACAUUCUUGAAACUGGGCAAUUUAUAAAGGAAAGAGGUU
RNAcentral lists this long non-coding RNA (4154 nucleotides) under Homo sapiens (human). RNAcentral describes it as "HSALNT0318382". The record is from RNAcentral. Lineage: Eukaryota; Metazoa; Chordata; Mammalia; Primates; Hominidae.